AUGACUAGUUGCCAGCAUUUAGUUGGGCACUCUAGUAAGACUGCCGGUGACAAACCGGAGGAAGGUGGGGAUGACGUCAAAUCAUCAUGCCCCUUAUGACCUGGGCUACACACGUGCUACAAUGGAUGGUACAACGAGUUGCGAGACCGCGAGGUCAAGCUAAUCUCUUAAAGCCAUUCUCAGUUCGGACUGUAGGCUGCAACUCGCCUACACGAAGUCGGAAUCGCUAGUAAUCGCGGAUCAGCACGCCGCGGUGAAUACGUUCCCGGGCCUUGUACACACCGCCCGUCACACCAUGAGAGUUUGUAACACCCGAAGCCGGUGGCGUAACCCUUUUAGGGAGCGAGCCGUCUAAGGUGGGACAAAUGAUUAGGGUGAAGUCGUAACAAGGUAGCCGUAGGAGAACCUGCGGCUGGAUCACCUCCUUUCU
Molecule: ribosomal RNA, 430 nt
Filed under: Lacticaseibacillus casei A2-362
Lineage: Bacteria; Bacillati; Bacillota; Bacilli; Lactobacillales; Lactobacillaceae
Description: bacterial SSU rRNA
Rfam family: Bacterial small subunit ribosomal RNA
Source: RNAcentral